Molecule: long non-coding RNA, 1172 nt
Organism: Camelina sativa (false flax)
Lineage: Eukaryota; Viridiplantae; Streptophyta; Magnoliopsida; Brassicales; Brassicaceae
Source: RefSeq, a predicted model, not a curated record
UUCUCUUUCUUCUUCCCAUCUCUUUCACGACACCUUCUUUCACAAAGACAAAAUAUCGUUGAGAUUUUUUUUCCACCAAAUCAAAGCCUUUCCUUCACUGGUAAUCGAGAAUUUGAUGAACCAAUCUCCAUCUGAUGGGUUCUUCAAUAUCUCUUUUGUUUUGUGUUCGAAGACAUGAUUUUUAUUAGGAUUAACGAAAUUAGCCAUGAAUGAAGAUGAAUUGAGAGUUGAGGAUUAUGCUCAGGACAGCAACGAGGGGAACUACGCUGAUUUGGACAAGUUGUGAGUGAUUUGCAGAGUGGAAUUGUUGAUAAGGUUGAUGCAAAACCCAAACCUGUUUCUUCGAGAACCCAGUCCAGGGCCUGGUGAUCCUCGCUCUUUCCCAUUUGGUGAUGGUUCUGAUCGACCUGGCUUCAUGGGACCGUCACAACCGUAAAGUCUCUCUUUCUUUCACAUAAAUGCACAUACAUAUAUACACAGCCAUAUAUUUGAACGCAUGUUUUUGGUUUGUGCGUAUGACCAACAAGGCCUGCAUUAAUGUGAUCUUUGUCAACGGUCGGGAGUAUAAUUUGGCUUACUAUCUCACCGAUGGUAUUUAUCCGAAAUGGGCCACUUUUAUCCAAUCUAUUCAGAUUCCAGCAGAUCCAAAGGCAUCCUUGUUUGCUACAUGGCAAGAAGCUGUCCGUAAAGAUGUCGAGCGUACUUUUGGAGUCUUGCAAGCUCGCUUCGCCAUAGUCAAAAACCCGGCUCUUAUCCAUGAUAAGGGAACAAUUGGAAAGAUAAUGAGAGCGUGUAUCAUACUUCACAAUAUGAUAGUAGAAGACGAACGAGAUCAUUACACACAGUUUGAUUCAGCAGAAUUCGCACGAGUGGAAGCAAACAGAACAUCACAAGUGGACUCCACAACUUCAACUGAUAUAUCUUCAAAUGUCAAUAAUUUGAUGACCAUGCUGAGCAAGCGGAAGGAAAUUCGUAAUAACAAAAUACAUCAACAAUUGAAGGAUGAUUUGGUUGAGAAUAUUUGGCAAAAGUUCGGCACAAAUUAAGAUUACAACUAAUCUUUUUCCCCAUUUGUGAUUUCUACUUCUAUUUUAAUAUGCUUUUCUGUUUUGUAUGUUAUGCAAUAAUUUUCCACUUUAUUAAAAUCUUAAUAGUUUAAAUAUUUAAACUAA